This 391-nucleotide ribosomal RNA is filed under the name uncultured bacterium. RNAcentral describes it as "partial 16S ribosomal RNA". It matches the Rfam family "Bacterial small subunit ribosomal RNA", at positions 338 to 726 of the family's 1533-position model. The record is from RNAcentral.
CCUACGGGAGGCAGCAGUGAGGAAUAUUGGUCAAUGGGCGUAAGCCUGAACCAGCCAAGUCGCGUGAGUGAUGAAGGUUCUAUGGAUCGUAAACCUCUUUUAUAAGGGAAUAAAGUGCGGGACGUGUCCCGUUUUGUAUGUACCUUAUGAAUAAGGAUCGGCUAACUCCGUGCCAGCAGCCGCGGUAAUACGGAGGAUUCGAGCGUUAUCCGGAUUGAUUGGGUUUAAAGGGUGCGUAGGCGGCCUUUUAAGUCAGGGGUGAAAGCCGGUGGCUCAACCAUAGAAUUGCCGUUGAAACUGGGAGGCUUGAGUAUGUUUGAGGCAGGUGGAAUGCGUGGUGUAGCGGUGAAAUGCUUAGAGAUCACGCAGAACCCCGAGUGCGAAGGCAGCC